UGGGACAACGAAAGGCGACA
This 20-nucleotide non-coding RNA is filed under the name Arabidopsis thaliana (thale cress). The record is from RNAcentral. Lineage: Eukaryota; Viridiplantae; Streptophyta; Magnoliopsida; Brassicales; Brassicaceae.